RNAcentral lists this ribosomal RNA (467 nucleotides) under uncultured bacterium. Its description in RNAcentral is "partial 16S ribosomal RNA". It matches the Rfam family "Bacterial small subunit ribosomal RNA", at positions 29 to 507 of the family's 1533-position model. The record is from RNAcentral.
ACGAACGCUGGCGGCGUGCUUAACACCUGCCAGUCGCACGGAAAGGCCCUGCUUUUGUGGGGUGCUCGCGUGGCGAACGGGUGAGUAACACGUGAGUAACCUGCCCUUGACUUUGGGAUAACUUCAGGAAACUGGGGCUAAUACCGGAUAGGAGCUCCUGCUGCAUGGUGGGGGUUGGAAAGUUUCGGCGGUUGGGGAUGGACUCGCGGCUUAUCAGCUUGUUGGUGGGGUAGUGGCUUACCAAGGCUUUGACGGGUAGCCGGCCUGAGAGGGUGACCGGCCACAUUGGGACUGAGAUACGGCCCAGACUCCUACGGGAGGCAGCAGUGGGGAAUAUUGCACAAUGGGCGGAAGACUGAUGCAGCAACGCCGCGUGCGGGAUGACGGCCUUCGGGUUGUAAACCGCUUUCGCCUGUGACGAAGCGUGAGUGACGGUAAUGGGUAAAGAAGCACCGGCUAACUACGUG